This 506-nucleotide ribosomal RNA is filed under the name uncultured bacterium. Its description in RNAcentral is "partial 16S ribosomal RNA". It matches the Rfam family "Bacterial small subunit ribosomal RNA", at positions 30 to 523 of the family's 1533-position model. The record is from RNAcentral.
AUUGAACGCUGGCGGCAGGCCUAACACAUGCAAGUCGAACGGUAACAGGAAACAGCUUGCUGUCUCGCUGACGAGUGGCGGACGGGUGAGUAAUGUCUGGGAAACUGCCUGAUGGAGGGGGAUAACUACUGGAAACGGUAGCUAAUACCGCAUAACGUCGCAAGACCAAAGAGGGGGACCUUCGGGCCUCUUGCCAUCGGAUGUGCCCAGAUGGGAUUAGCUAGUAGGUGGGGUAACGGCUCACAUAGGCGACGAUCCCUAGCUGGUCUGAGAGGAUGACCAGCCACACUGGAACUGAGACACGGUCCAGACUCCUACGGGAGGCAGCAGUGGGGAAUAUUGCACAAUGGGCGCAAGCCUGAUGCAGCCAUGCCGCGUGUAUGAAGAAGGCCUUCGGGUUGUAAAGUACUUUCAGCGGGGAGGAAGGGAGUAAAGUCAAUACCUUUGCUCAUUGACGUUACCCGCAGAAGAAGCACCGGCUAACUCCGUGCCAGCCGCCGCAGUAA